RNAcentral lists this non-coding RNA (147 nucleotides) under uncultured Aquabacterium sp. RNAcentral describes it as "FMN riboswitch (RFN element)". It matches the Rfam family "FMN riboswitch aptamer (RFN element)". From Rfam's summary of the family: The RFN element is a highly conserved domain that is found frequently in the 5'-untranslated regions of prokaryotic mRNAs that encode for flavin mononucleotide (FMN) biosynthesis and transport proteins. This element is a metabolite-dependent riboswitch that directly binds FMN in the absence of proteins. In Bacillus subtilis, the riboswitch most likely controls gene expression by causing premature transcription termination within the 5' untranslated region of the ribDEAHT operon and precluding access to the ribosome-binding site of ypaA mRNA. Lineage: Bacteria; Pseudomonadati; Pseudomonadota; Betaproteobacteria; Burkholderiales; Sphaerotilaceae. The record is from RNAcentral.
CGUUCUCAGGGCGGGGUGAAAGUCCCCACCGGCGGUGAUGGGCCUCAAGCCCUCAGCCCGCGAGCGCCUGCCGGGCUCCCGCCUGGCAGGGUCAGCAGACCCGGUGUGAUUCCGGGGCCGACGGUCACAGUCCGGAUGAAAGAGAGC